Molecule: long non-coding RNA, 205 nt
Organism: Agrilus planipennis (emerald ash borer)
Lineage: Eukaryota; Metazoa; Arthropoda; Insecta; Coleoptera; Buprestidae
Exons: 3
Source: RefSeq, a predicted model, not a curated record
CGCUGGUCGAACUCCACGUGGGUGAUCCUAAACCUCUAAAGUAGAUUAGUUGUCACGAUGAAUCGAAAUGCUAUUGUGCUGCUUCUGGCACUAGCAAUCGUCCAUUCGACAUACGGAACGUUUGGAAAAGAACAUGUCCACAUUAAAAUACAUCUCAAACCACCAGAACCAAAGAAAGUGAUAAAAGAGAUUAUAAAGAUCCAUG